CCUACGGGAGGCAGCAGUGGGGAAUAUUGCACAAUGGGGGAAACCCUGAUGCAGCGACGCCGCGUGAGUGAAGAAGUAAUUCGUUAUGUAAAGCUCUAUCAGCAGGGAAGAAAAUGACGGUACCUGACUAAGAAGCGCCGGCUAACUACGGGCCAGCAGCCGCGGUAAUACGUAGGGGGCAAGCGUUAUCCGGAUUUACUGGGGGUAAAGGGAGCGCAGACGGGUGUGCAAGUCUGAAGUGAAAGGCGGGGGCUCAACCCCCGGACUGCUGUGGAAACUGUGAAGCUGGAGUGCAGGAGAGGUAGGCGGAAUUCCUAGUGUAGCGGUGAAAUGCGUAGAUAUUAGGAGGAACACCAGUGGCGAAGGCGGCUUGCUGGACUGCAACUGACGUUGAGGCGCGAAAGCGUGGGGAGCAAACAGGAUUAGAUACCCCUGUAGUC
This 440-nucleotide ribosomal RNA is filed under the name uncultured bacterium. Its description in RNAcentral is "partial 16S ribosomal RNA". It matches the Rfam family "Bacterial small subunit ribosomal RNA", at positions 338 to 795 of the family's 1533-position model. The record is from RNAcentral.